AUUGAACGCUGGCGGCAGGCUUAACACAUGCAAGUCGAGCGGGGAAGAGUAGCUUGCUACUUGACCUAGCGGCGGACGGGUGAGUAAUGCUUAGGAAUCUGCCUAUUAGUGGGGGACAACAUCUCGAAAGGGAUGCUAAUACCGCAUACGUCCUACGGGAGAAAGCAGGGGACCUUCGGGCCUUGCGCUAAUAGAUGAGCCUAAGUCGGAUUAGCUAGUUGGUGGGGUAAAGGCCUACCAAGGCGACGAUCUGUAGCGGGUCUGAGAGGAUGAUCCGCCACACUGGGACUGAGACACGGCCCAGACUCCUACGGGAGGCAGCAGUGGGGAAUAUUCGACAAUGGGGGGAACCCUGAUCCAGCCAUGCCGCGUGUGUGAAGAAGGCCUUUUGGUUGGAAAGCACUUUAAGCGAGGAGGAGGCUACCGAGAUUAAUACUCUUGGAUAGUGGACGUUACUCGCAGAAUAAGCACCGGCUAACUCUGUG
Molecule: ribosomal RNA, 485 nt
Filed under: uncultured bacterium
Lineage: Bacteria
Description: partial 16S ribosomal RNA
Rfam family: Bacterial small subunit ribosomal RNA
Source: RNAcentral